Molecule: long non-coding RNA, 342 nt
Filed under: Bos taurus (domestic cattle)
Lineage: Eukaryota; Metazoa; Chordata; Mammalia; Artiodactyla; Bovidae
Description: long non-coding RNA NONBTAT015442
Source: RNAcentral
GCUUUUUCCAGAAUCUAGUGUUUCGUGACUUGAAUUUGUUUUUCCUCGUGUAGCCGCCAGACUCAUUCACAGUGGAGUCAGUGGCUUACUCCUCAAUCACUUGCUGUGAUGGAUGAUUAGCAUGUAUUCAAGCACCAAACCAAGGUUACUUUCUCACUUGGGAGCUAAAGAAAGAGGGGUGACCCAUCUACAAUGGAGUUUGGGGUGAUCCUUUAUGCAACAGACAAUGUUGUCAACAGCAGACAGGGAAUAGAUACCAGGCAAACCACCAUGACAGAUGUCUAUUAGAACACCCAACCUGGAAGGUGUCCCUAUAGGCUGACUUUCAGCCUUUUCCGGGGG